RNAcentral lists this ribosomal RNA (468 nucleotides) under uncultured bacterium. RNAcentral's name for it is "partial 16S ribosomal RNA". It matches the Rfam family "Bacterial small subunit ribosomal RNA", at positions 28 to 507 of the family's 1533-position model. The record is from RNAcentral.
GACGAACGCUGGCGGCGUGCUUAACACAUGCAAGUCGAACGGAAAGGCCCUGCUUUUGUGGGGUGCUCGAGUGGCGAACGGGUGAGUAACACGUGAGUAACCUGCCCUUGACUUUGGGAUAACUUCAGGAAACUGGGGCUAAUACCGGAUAGGAGCUCCUGCUGCAUGGUGGGGGUUGGAAAGUUUCGGCGGUUGGGGAUAGACUCGCGGCUUAUCAGCUUGUUGGUGGGGUAGUGGCUUACCAAGGCUUUGACGGGUAGCCGGCCUGAGAGGGUGACCGGCCACAUUGGGACUGGGAUACGGCCCAGACUCCUACGGGAGGCAGCAGUGGGGAAUAUUGCACAAUGGGCGGAAGCCUGAUGCAGCAACGCCGCGUGCGGGAUGACGGCCUUCGGGUUGUAAACCGCUUUCGCCUGUGACGAAGCGUGAGUGACGGUAAUGGGUAAAGAAGCACCGGCUAACUACGUG